This 532-nucleotide ribosomal RNA is filed under the name Rana johnsi (John's groove-toed frog). Its description in RNAcentral is "partial large subunit ribosomal RNA". It matches the Rfam family "Bacterial large subunit ribosomal RNA", at positions 1854 to 2603 of the family's 2925-position model. Lineage: Eukaryota; Metazoa; Chordata; Amphibia; Anura; Ranidae. The record is from RNAcentral.
UCAGCCUGCCCAGUGACAAAGUUUAACGGCCGCGGUACCCUAACCGUGCGAAGGUAGCAUAAUCACUUGUUCUUUAAAUGAGGACUCGUAUCAACGGCACUACGAGGGCUAUACUGUCUCCUUUUUCCAAUCAGUGAAACUGAUCUCCCCGUGAAGAAGCGGGGAUGAGAAUAUAAGACGAGAAGACCCCAUGGAGCUUUAAACUCACCAUGCACCUCUAUGCCCUUGUAUCACUAGACAUAAGACACCUGCAUGAUGGUUUUAGGUUGGGGGGACCACGGAGUAUAAUAUAACCUCCACAACAAAUGGGCUAACACCCUUAUCCACGAGACACAACUCUAAGAAUUAUUAAACUAAUGCUUAUGACCCGAUAUUCGAUCAAUGAACCAAGUUACCCUGGGGAUAACAGCGCAAUCUACUUCAAGAGCCCAUAUCGACAAGUAGGUUUACGACCUCGAUGUUGGAUCAGGGUAUCCCGGUGGUGCAGCCGCUACCAAUGGUUCGUUUGUUCAACGAUUAAAACCCUACGUGA